Molecule: long non-coding RNA, 725 nt
Organism: Austrofundulus limnaeus
Lineage: Eukaryota; Metazoa; Chordata; Actinopteri; Cyprinodontiformes; Rivulidae
Exons: 4
Source: RefSeq, a predicted model, not a curated record
CCUUGAUCUGCAGUGGUCUUGUCUGUGUGGGGAAGCUGCUUUGAGAAGCUUUACCCGGGAUGACCUGAAGGAUCUUUUCCCUGGCUCUGAAAAUUUCUUCCGGAGAAAGAAGAUUUGGGAUUUCAUCAGCCAAAAGGCGAUCUGUGCAGCAUACUCUUCAAGCAUGCACACAGCUGAUCUCGCACCCCUCCAGAACCGUGCUGCUCUCCUGGCAUGCCACGCCCCCUCCAGCUCGAGCACACUGAGGAAAAAUACAAGGAAACGCCAGCAUCCACGCACCCCAACCCUACUUUAUGGCUUGUGUCCACACCAGCGAUGACCUCCAAUCACUUUUAAAUCAACAUGGAGCGCUACUCACAGGUGCGGGCAGAGGUUCUCGUCUGCCCUGAUACUGGACCGUCUGUCCGCCUCCUGGCUCAAACAAGAAUUCCACUCCUCGUCCUCCAGCACGUCUGUCUUUUUUCACCCACGCCAACAGUCCUCUUUUUUUUUCUCGUCACUCCCUCUCCGCUGGUAUUCAUUAGUCCCUCACAGACACCUGUGUCAGGAGCAAAUUGCUGUGUCCCGCCCCCUUAUUACACAGCCAGCUCUAAUUCAAAUUGUCUUUCAUGUCCUUCAUGCAAAAAGAAAGAAUGCUACAAUGUUAACAUGCAAAAAAAGAGAAAAAAACACAAUAAUACAAACAUGCAAAACACCCCAAAUACAAUCAAAACACAAAAAUCGCA